UGGGGAAUAUUGCACAAUGGGCGUAAGCCUGAUGCAGCCAUGCCGCGUGUAUGAAGAAGGCCUUCGGGUUGUAAAGUACUUUCAGCGGGGAGGAAGGCGAUAAGGUUAAUAACCUUGUCGAUUGACGUUACCCGCAGAAGAAGCACCGGCUAACUCCGUGCCAGCAGCCGCGGUAAUACGGAGGGUGCAAGCGUUAAUCGGAAUUACUGGGCGUAAAGCGCACGCAGGCGGUCUGUCAAGUCGGAUGUGAAAUCCCCGGGCUCAACCUGGGAACUGCAUUCGAAACUGGCAGGCUAGAGUCUUGUAGAGGGGGGUAGAAUUCCAGGUGUAGCGGUGAAAUGCGUAGAGAUCUGGAGGAAUACCGGUGGCGAAGGCGGCCCCCUGGACAAAGACUGACGCUCAGGUGCGAAAGCGUGGGGAGCAAACA
RNAcentral lists this ribosomal RNA (427 nucleotides) under uncultured bacterium. Its description in RNAcentral is "partial 16S ribosomal RNA". It matches the Rfam family "Bacterial small subunit ribosomal RNA", at positions 355 to 774 of the family's 1533-position model. The record is from RNAcentral.